GCAAAACUGGCUUCUGAAAAAGACGAGCCCAAACACAGAAUAGAGAGAAGAAGUAUUACCCUUUUGGAGAAGCGUGAGCCCUAGAGCUCUUUUCGCCAUAAUUUUCGUCAUCAUCGACCAGCUCCUAAGGCUAGAGCAAGCAAUUCACGAUUUUUUUCGGUCGAAAGGAAUGGGCACCCCUUUUUGCGAACCCUUUUUGCGGCUCCAUCUCAGCCAUCAAAGUGAUCUCAACGGCUGGUUGAAAAAGAGGGCUUACAAUAGAAAUGGGCACCCCUUUUCUAAUCCCGCCUUUUUCCAUCCAAUCGCGCCUAUUUUUUUCAGACUCCCUCUUUUUCCUCUCAAACAAAUUCUCCUUUCUCUCUCACCUGUUUAUUCUCUGUGUUAGUGGCAAUUAGGUUAGGGUUGAUAACCGUUACUGUUCACGUUUUUCCCAUCUCCUUCACCUCCUCCACGCACAUAGUACCCAAACACCGACAUCGCCUCCCUCAAACAUCUAUGAAUCCCAAGAAAAUCUUCAAGUUUUUAGAAUUCUAACCUUCAAAUAUAUUUCUUAGAAUCCUAAUUUUAAUUUUUAAUUAUUUUUAUUGUUUGUGUUCAUUCUCUCUCACGACUGCCUUCCUUGCCCGCCAGUGUAGGAGGUCGAGUGAGGGGCCUGUCUUGGGCCUGUUUCCCUGUUACUUGGAUCUGUUACUCUAUUUUGCUGUUUCAGUGUUUCAGCUUUUGUUGAUGUUUGGGAUCGUGAUAUGUUUUUCCGUAGACUAGUUUUGGCCUCGACGGCUCUCUGUCUCGCUGGUGGUUCGCUCGGUCUCGCGCUCUCUCUCCAUGAGCCUCCCUUCAUCCAUGGAUCCAUAGUUCAGUUGUUGGUUUUUUACUGCGAACCUACACUGAGUUUUGCCCGUGCUUUCCAUUCUGGUGAGGUAUAUGCUAGAGGUUGCAAAUGCAGAGCUCGAGGAAGCCAAGCUCAGCAAGGAAACUACUGAGCAAGAUCUUAAAGGAUACGAAGUUGCUCCUCUGAGUAGAGAAGGUUUUGAUAAUCUAUCAAAUUAAGCUUAAUCUGAGUGUAAAUGGGACUGAGAGUUCAUGUGUGUUUUGAUUGUAGGGCUGCGUUAGUACUCAAGAGGUUUUCACGCUAUCCAACUCCGAUUUAGUUCCUGGGAAAUAUGAAGAUGUAUAGAGUUCUUCCUAUCUUUUGUUUGCUUUGUUAAUAGUGAUUCAAUAAUUAAAAAUGACACUAGAUUGAGUUUUUAAUAUUCUGCAUUACAAAUGUUUAUCUUAUUUAUGAAAUGCUGUUGCACCAAAUGGUGAUAGUAUGGUUUUUAAAUUAUCUGUGAAAAUCAAUAUUUUUUUGUAUAUAUAUUCGGUAUUUAAUUGUAUAAUGAUCUGUAAAUUAUGACUGUCAAAUUCCCUUGAAGUUCCAUUUUUUGAUCAAAUUAGGCACUUUUCAGUUCAGUUGUUGGUUUUUUACUGCGAACCUACACUGAGUUUUGCCCGUGCUUUCCAUUCUGGUGAGGUAUAUGCUAGAGGUUGCAAAUGCAGAGCUCGGGGAAGUCAAGCGCAGCAAGGAAACUACUGAGCAAGAUCUUAAAGGAUACGAAGUUGCUCCUCUGAGUAGAGAAGGUUUUGAUAAUCUAUCAAAUUAAGCUUAAUCUGAGUGUAAAUGGGACUGAGAGUUCAUGUGUGUUUUGAUUGUAGGGCUGCGUUAGUACUCAAGAGGUUUUCACGCUAUCCAACUCCGAUUUAGUUCCUGGGAAAUAUGAAGAUGUAUAGAGUUCUUCCUAUCUUUUGUUUGCUUUGUUAAUAGUGAUUCAAUAAUUAAAAAUGACACUAGAUUGAGUUUUUAAUAUUCUGCAUUACAAAUGUUUAUCUUAUUUAUGAAAUGCUGUUGCACCAAAUGGUGAUAGUAUGGUUUUUAAAUUAUCUGUGAAAAUCAAUAUUUUUUUGUAUAUAUAUUCGGUAUUUAAUUGUAUAAUGAUCUGUAAAUUAUGACUGUCAAAUUCCCUUGAAGUUCCAUUUUUUGAUCAAAUUAGGCACUUUUCAGUUCAGUUGUUGGUUUUUUACUGCGAACCUACACUGAGUUUUGCCCGUGCUUUCCAUUCUGGUGAGGUAUAUGCUAGAGGUUGCAAAUGCAGAGCUCGGGGAAGUCAAGCGCAGCAAGGAAACUACUGAGCAAGAUCUUAAAGGAUACGAAAUUGAUGUUCUUAAUUUUCUUAGGCUUUAAUCGAAUCUUCAAUGCAGUCAAGGAUUUCUCUGACUCAAGACGAGAUUUCCACAGUCGGAUCGGAUUUGGAUGCUCUUAAGAACAAAAAAGGGGCUUCACGAGAUGAGUUUAUUAGCCAAAUGGUUGAGAUCAACACUCAGAUAAGAAGAAGAUCCCAAACUAGUGAAGGAGGAGGUUACUGAAGGUGCUUUAGGAACACUUGAGGAUAUGCUUGCUGGUAUAAUAUCUCAGACAACCGAAGUGGAAGAAGAAUGCAAAUCAGAACAGAAUAUUCAAAAGCAGGUCCAGCAGUCGCUGAUUGAUUGUGAAAGGAAGGUAUUCUUGAUGGAGGAGAUGUUACAAGCAACAAAAGCAUUGCAAGACUUGACAAGAUAUCCUUUCCAAGAUUGCGUUGGUUACUGAACUUAAUCAAUGGUUAAGCACAUUAUAUAUUAUUCCUCUGGACCAUGUAGAAAAUUAGAAUGCAAAGAAAAUUGCCCAUCUCAUGUAGAAAAUUAGAAUGCAAUGUGCUAAUAUUUUAUUCUAUCACCCGAAAUGAUGCACCAGGGAUGCCCUAGUGCAUUCGUUAUGACACUUUUAUGAAACUUGUUUAGUGCAUUCGUUAUGACACUUUUAUGGAACUUGUUUUGGCAGCGUGAUACUUGUAGAA
Non-coding RNA from Prunus avium (sweet cherry), 2867 nucleotides. Lineage: Eukaryota; Viridiplantae; Streptophyta; Magnoliopsida; Rosales; Rosaceae. The record is from RefSeq and is a predicted model, not a curated record.